RNAcentral lists this ribosomal RNA (332 nucleotides) under uncultured bacterium. RNAcentral describes it as "bacterial SSU rRNA". It matches the Rfam family "Bacterial small subunit ribosomal RNA", at positions 568 to 898 of the family's 1533-position model. The record is from RNAcentral.
CGCGUAGGCGGUUUUACAAGUCGUCUGUGAAAUCCCAGGGCUUAACCCUGGGGGUGCAGACGAAACUGUAAGACUUGAGUGCGGUAGAGGUAAGUGGAAUUCCUAGUGUAGCGGUGAAAUGCGUAGAUAUUAGGAGGAACACCAGUGGCGAAGGCGACUUACUGGGCCGUAACUGACGCUGAGGCGCGAAAGCGUGGGGAGCAAACAGGAUUAGAUACCCUGGUAGUCCACGCUGUAAACGAUGAAUACUAGGUGUAGGGGGUAUCGACCCCUCCUGUGCCGGAGCUAACGCAAUAAGUAUUCCGCCUGGGGAGUACGGCCGCAAGGUUGAA